This 512-nucleotide ribosomal RNA is filed under the name uncultured bacterium. RNAcentral's name for it is "partial 16S ribosomal RNA". It matches the Rfam family "Bacterial small subunit ribosomal RNA", at positions 28 to 507 of the family's 1533-position model. The record is from RNAcentral.
GAUGAACGCUGGCGGCGUGCCUAACACAUGCAAGUCGAACGAAACUUCAUUAUCACCUUGCGCUUGCACUUACCGAUUGAGGGAUGAGUGGCGAACGCGUGAGUAUCUCCUUUUCAGCCUGCCCUAAAGAGGGGGAACACACUCGGAUACAGGAGCCAAUCUCCCAUAACAAUCAUUAGAGCUUCGUACCUAUGUCAAAGGAGGGAAUCGUUCCGCGUUUGGAUAGGUCCCCGGCGCAUUAGCUAGUUGGUAGGGUAAAGGCUUACCAAGGCAAUGAUGCGUAGCUGAAUUGAGAGGUUGAUCGGCCACAUUGGGACUGAGACACGGCCCAAACUCCUACGGGAGGCAGCAGUAGGGAAUCUUCGACAAUGGGCGAAAGCCUGAUGGAGCAACGCCGCGUGGGUGAAGAAGGUCUUCGGAUCGUAAAGCCCUGUUGUUAGGGAAGAAAGUGAGUAGGUGUAACUGUUCACGUUUCGACGGUAUCUAAACAAAAAGCCACGGCUAACUACGUG